GGUUCGCUGGUGUAGUUGGGUAAGCAUCAACCUCCUAAUGCAACAUCCUCAAUUCCUAACACUCACCAGUUAUCACGUUCGCCUCACAUUCUGUUGAUCGCGAAAGGUCGCGAGUUCGAACCUCGCGUGAAUCA
This 134-nucleotide transfer RNA is filed under the name Didymella pomorum. Its description in RNAcentral is "Peyronellaea pomorum tRNA". It matches the Rfam family "tRNA". From Rfam's summary of the family: Transfer RNA (tRNA) molecules are approximately 80 nucleotides in length. The record is from Rfam by way of RNAcentral. Lineage: Eukaryota; Fungi; Ascomycota; Dothideomycetes; Pleosporales; Didymellaceae.